UACAGAGGUCUCAAGCGUUGUUCGGAAUUACUGGGCGUAAAGGGUGCGUAGGUGGCGUGUUAAGUCAGAUGUGAAAGCCCGGAGCUCAACUUCGGAAUUGCAUCCGAUACUACCAUGCUUGAGUACUGGAGAGGUGACUAGAAUUCUAGGUGUAGCAGUGAAAUGCGUAGAUAUCUAGAGGAAUACCAAAGGCGUAGGCAGGUCACUGGACAGUUACUGACACUGAGGCACGAAGGCCAGGGGAGCGAACGGG
This 253-nucleotide ribosomal RNA is filed under the name uncultured bacterium. Its description in RNAcentral is "partial 16S ribosomal RNA". It matches the Rfam family "Bacterial small subunit ribosomal RNA", at positions 524 to 776 of the family's 1533-position model. The record is from RNAcentral.